This 3192-nucleotide long non-coding RNA is filed under the name Zea mays. RNAcentral's name for it is "long non-coding RNA (ZMAY_LNC005396)". Lineage: Eukaryota; Viridiplantae; Streptophyta; Magnoliopsida; Poales; Poaceae. The record is from RNAcentral.
GUGUUUUUUUUUCCUGUUCUCUUCAACCAUUUCAGCACUGUUGGCCUCCUUUGACUCCCUCUUUUCCCUCAUGCCAAUCUUCUUCUCAUCACUUUCCUUUAUGACCGGAAUGGUUCUGUAAGUACUGGCCUUCUUUUCAUUAAUCUCUUUCUCUGGCACAACUGGAAUGGUCUUGCAGUUUUCCCUUGGAGGUUUCUUCCCAUCGUGUAUGCUCUUGGGCACAACUGGAGUGAUUUUAGGGUUUCCUUCUAGUAUCAUGUUGUCUUGAUGGCCAGUAACCACAGGUGAUCCGUUGUUGUGGUCUCCAGAACCAUUUCUGGCAGCCGAUUUCUGAUCAUGAUGAUGACCAUUCCCAAACCAAGAUAGAUGAAUGAUCUUGGGUGAUUGAGGAGACACUUCAGAAAUCUUUGGGGGAUUUUGGGGUCUCUUCUGUGUCAUUCAUCUCUUUAGCCUUUUGGUUUGGUGCAUCAUACCCUGCUGGCAUCCAAACUAUUGGCCACUGGAAUUGUUUCCCCUUCUCAUUAUCCUGCCCUUGUUGCUUCACAUCCCCUAACCACUUCCCACUCACAGGAGCCCAUUCAUUUAAAACCUGAGGUGACAAUUCAUAAUGCUCUCCAUUCUCCUUGCCUUUCAUAUUGCCUGAUGGCAGCCAUAUGAAUGGAUACUUCUUGUUUGGGUGUUGAAUUAUACUGUCACUAUCAGCAUUCUUAUAGAUAAUCUUUUUAUCUUGCUUGUGUUAAAAUUUCAUGACCAUAGGUGUAGUAGUUUAGGAGUUAUGAUUUUUCCAAGUCCAGUUUUAGAAUCUGUCCAAAUUCUGUACAGGUUUCGAAAAUUGGAUUGUUUGGCUAAGCUAAACUGAGAAUCAGCCCUUAGUAAUUAUAUAAGAAUUGUAGUACUUUCCUUAAUCUUUCCAACAAAUUUUGGAGCACCCUUUUUGGUGGUCUAGAGAUCAAGUUACAGCUGUUUGAACUAUAGAGUCUGAAUCUGUCCAAAUCUGGACAGCGAAGUAUGUUUGUAGUAACUGACUUUGAUAUGUAUUGUAUUAACCUGAGAUGUUUAUAAAUGAAUUGUAGACAAUUCUAUUAGCUUUCUAAAAAGUCUAGGAUCAUCUGAUUUGGAUGCCUGAAACUCCAGUUAUGAUUUUUUUGAAGUGAGUAGCCGAAUUCUGUCCAAAUCUGGACAGAAUUAAAGUUUAGCACUGUUUGACCUUUCAAACUGUCGAAUCAUGUUGUGAUGAUAAUAUAAGAGUUAUAGAGGACUUUCUAAGCUUUUCAGAAAGUCCUAGUUUACUAUUUUUGGAUGCAUAUUUUGUGAGCUAUGAAUAAAACAAUUAACUGCUGUGCUGCUGUCUAAAAAUUAUGCAAGUAUUAAAUUGUUGGCUUGAAGUUACUAUUGUUUGGCUAAGUAAGUUUAGCUGAUUCUUAAUUGGUGAAGUAAUGCUUUGUUGUAGUAAUUAUCAUGUUCUAUGGUUGUUGAUUGAGUAAAUAUCAUAAAUGGAGAUUGGUCGCUUAAGUUAAUCAUCUUGAAUAAAUGUUCCUCGUUAUCCUUAUUAGUUCGAAGCAAAUAGCAUCAAUAGGUUUAUUCCAGUUGUAAUCCGAGAGCUAUAUAGUGGGAAGUGCAUUUAGGCGCUUAAAGUCUUUUGCUUCUAGGUUAUGGUCAAAUGAGAUUAUGUAAUAUUUGAUGAUGCUCUACUUGCUAGGACAAAUAGUGUGAUGUGUUAGCUAAGCUAGUUAAUCCGAUGAAAUGGUUUAAAAAGUUAGUUAAAGUAUUUCUAUUCAAAUUCGAAGUUGUAGAUGUCCAAGGCUAAUAAGUUUAAAUUAUGGUAAUCGUUUGGUGUAUGUUCUAGUUAAAGAAGAUCCAUACAUGGUUCACGAUUGUUUGGUGUUUAAGUUAGGUUUGAUUGAUUAGAAGAUCAUGCUUGUUGUGUUAGAGUUAAUGUAUCUAGUGAUUACUUAUGUUUGCUUAUAAUGCUUUGCUAGAGAAUGUUUAAUCCUAUACCAUAUAACUUCAUAUAAUAUUGUACUAUUUCUUAUGUUCAUACAUGUGCAUUGUACAUCCAAAUAGGUACGCUAGCUGAAAAAUCGUGCGAAGCGAAGGGUGUGGAUCAAAACAACCCACAAGACAAUGUGAGGUGUUCAUAUGUGUCUAACUAAAAAUUUGUAAUCUUCCUCUCCACCAACUGAUUGUUAAUUUUCUGUCCUGGCAUUACUCCUUACCAUAUACACAACAAAAUAUAAUCUGUUCAUUUUUUGGCUAAUGUUACAGGUUGCCCAAAGUUUAAUCUAUUCAUUUUUGGCUAAUAUUACAGGUUGGCCAAACGCUUGGAACAAUGGAACUAUUGCAAAUUCCUUUUUAAAGACUACAACUUCUAUCGGACUAGGUACAACUAACAAAUCUUCUGCCAAUGCAUAUAACAUAUGUUUAUUGCUUCCAGCACACAUCACUUGCCAUGUCACAACUCCAACUAUAUUCACUGCAACUUUUCCAUAUUUUUCAGCAAUUUGCAUAACAGUACAUUGCAUUGCAGUUAAAUGAAUCUUCCAUAUUCAAAUUUAGAGAACCUUUCCACUUAGGUCCGCACACAAGAUUUUAUCAACAAUAUGAUUUGUACAUAAAGAGAAAAAGUUCCCUGCUGUAAACGACUAAAAAAAAGUUCCCUGCUGUAAACGCACAACAAAUCUUCCAAGAACUGAAUAUUGCCUCAUAUCAUCAUCAAUAUCUAUAGUUGUAGAAUGUCUAUUUUGCAUGCUCUGUAUAAUUAUAUAUGUACAUAUGUUUAGGCCUUCAAAAACAACUCAACUCCAUAUGCUACUGCAGAUGCUGAAACAGACCAACUAGCCUUGCACAACUCAACUAACACUGUUUUAUAUGAGCUUUCCUAUUUCAGAACUAUUGUAAGAUUUAUGUAAAUACAUAAAUUAGGACAUGCUGACAUGUUAUUGCAGGUGGUCAAGGCUCAGGAUUCAGAGUAGAAGAUGCACAUAAAUACUGGUGAAUGAUGCCAUCGACGAUGAUGAACUGAUGAAACGAUGGAUGAUGUCAUCGAUGAAAGAUGGAAUGGAACUCAAAUUUUGGUGGUCGCACAAGUGUGGAGACUUGAAUUCAUAUAUACUUAGUUAGGCUCAAUGUUAGCACAAACAGUUGAUGAGCAAGUUUUCCCAUUAGUAGUUUAGUUUGAAUUUAGAGUACAAU